RNAcentral lists this ribosomal RNA (334 nucleotides) under uncultured soil bacterium. Its description in RNAcentral is "bacterial SSU rRNA". It matches the Rfam family "Bacterial small subunit ribosomal RNA", at positions 26 to 363 of the family's 1533-position model. The record is from RNAcentral.
AGGACGAACGCUGGCGGCGUGCUUAACACAUGCAAGUCGAGCGGUAAGGCCCUUUCGGGGGUACACGAGCGGCGAACGGGUGAGUAACACGUGAGCAAUCUGCCCUUCACUUCGGGAUAAGCCUCGGAAACGGGGUCUAAUACCGGAUAUGACCGCGCUACGCAUGUGGUGUGGUGGAAAGUUCUGGCGGUGGAGGAUGAGCUCGCGGCCUAUCAGCUUGUUGGUGGGGUAAUGGCCUACCAAGGCUUCGACGGGUAGCCGGCCUGAGAGGGUGACCGGCCACACUGGGACUGAGACACGGCCCAGACUCCUACGGGAGCAGCAGUGGGGAAUA